ACGCUGGCGGCGUGCUUAACACAUGCAAGUCGAACGAUGAAGCCUAGCUUGCUAGGUGGAUUAGUGGCGAACGGGUGAGUAAUACGUGAGUAACCUACCUUUAACUCUGGGAUAAGCCUGGGAAACUGGGACUAAUACCGGAUACGACCAAUCUCCGCAUGGGGUGUUGGUGGAAAGCGUUAUGUAGUGGUUAUAGAUGGGCUCACGGCCUAUCAGCUUGUUGGUGAGGUAACGGCUCACCAAGGCGACGACGGGUAGCCGGCCUGAGAGGGUGACCGGCCACACUGGGACUGAGACACGGCCCAGACUCCUACGGGAGGCAGCAGUGGGGAAUAUUGCACAAUGGGCGCAAGCCUGAUGCAGCGACGCCGCGUGAGGGAUGACGGCCUUCGGGUUGUAAACCUCUGUUAGCAGGGAAGAAGAGAAAUUGACGGUACCUGCAGAGAAAGCGCCGGCUAACUACGUGCCAGCAGCCGCGGUAAUACGUAGGGCGCGAGCGUUGUCCGGAAUUAUUGGGCGUAAAGAGCUUGUAGGCGGUUUGUCGCGUCUGCUGUGAAAGGCCGGGGCUUAACCCCGUGUAUUGCAGUGGGUACGGGCAGACUAGAGUGCAGUAGGGGAGACUGGAAUUCCUGGUGUAGCGGUGGAAUGCGCAGAUAUCAGGAGGAACACCGAUGGCGAAGGCAGGUCUCUGGGCUGUAACUGACGCUGAGAAGCGAAAGCAUGGGGAGCGAACAGGAUUAGAUACCCUGGUAGUCCAUGCCGUAAACGUUGGGCACUAGGUGUGGGGGACAUUCCACGUUUUCCGCGCCGUAGCUAACGCAUUAAGUGCCCCGCCUGGGGAGUACGGCCGCAAGGCUAAAACUCAAAGAAAUUGACGGGGGCCCGCACAAGCGGCGGAGCAUGCGGAUUAA
This 911-nucleotide ribosomal RNA is filed under the name uncultured bacterium. RNAcentral describes it as "bacterial SSU rRNA". It matches the Rfam family "Bacterial small subunit ribosomal RNA", at positions 33 to 949 of the family's 1533-position model. The record is from RNAcentral.